RNAcentral lists this ribosomal RNA (460 nucleotides) under uncultured bacterium. RNAcentral's name for it is "partial 16S ribosomal RNA". It matches the Rfam family "Bacterial small subunit ribosomal RNA", at positions 338 to 795 of the family's 1533-position model. The record is from RNAcentral.
CCUACGGGGGUCAGCAGUGAGGAAUAUUGGUCAAUGGGCGGGAGCCUGAACCCGCCAAGUCGCGUGAGGGAAGACGGUCCUCUGGAUUGUAAACCUCUUUAGGCGGGGAGCAAUGCCGGGCACGCGUGCCCGGAGGGAGAGUACCCGCCGAAUCAGCAUCCGCUAACUCCGUGCCAGCAGCCGCGGUAAUACGGAGGAGGCGAGCGUUAUUCGGAUUUAUUGGGUUUAAAGGGUGCUUCUGCGGAGUUUUGAGUCAGCGGUAAAAUGUCCGGGCUCAAUCCGGGCCGGCCGUUGAAACUGGGGAGCUUGAGUGGGCGAGAAGUAUGCGGAAUGCGUGGUGUAGCGGUGAAAUGCAUAGAUAUCACGCAGAACUCCGAUUGCGAAGGCAGCAUACCGGCGCCCGACUGACGCUGAGGCACGAAAGCGUGGGGAUCGAACAGGAUUAGAUACCCUAGUAGUC